GGCAGACACUCACUCACAAGUGGCCACUGUGAACACCCACGAGCGACAAUGAAGUUCCUGGUAAUUAUGCUGCUGGCGGCUUCUGCUUGCGCUGCUGAAAUUGAAAAGCGAGAUGCAGAGCCAGACCAUGGUUAUGUCUCCCCCUAUGGGUAUCGCAACUACUACCCCUACUUCCCGGGACCCUAUGGUUACAAGCAAUACCCUCACAAGAGAUCUGCCAAGCCAGACCCAGAGCCAGAGCCUUCCCCCGUCCAUGGACACAAUCCUCAUCGCCACUACUUCAGCCACUUCCACCACCACCAUCACGGAAAGAGGUCUGCCGAUCCUUACGCUUAUGCUGAGCCUUACCCUUAUCCUUACCCUUAUGCAGAACCUUCCAAUCAUUAUGGCUACUAUGGCUAUCCUGGCCCAUACUACAGCUACCCUUCGUAUUAGUAAGGUUAAAAACUCGACUGCUGGUUUUAAUGGAGCACUUAUGUGGAUAUUGUUUUAAUGCUGAUUCAGGAGUGUUUCAUGUAAAGACAAGCGAUUGAAUUAAAAUACCCACAAUA
Long non-coding RNA from Macrobrachium nipponense, 551 nucleotides. RefSeq lists it as uncharacterized. The record is from RefSeq and is a predicted model, not a curated record. The transcript has 2 exons. NCBI's taxonomy places the organism in Eukaryota, Metazoa, Arthropoda, Malacostraca, Decapoda, Palaemonidae.